This is a long non-coding RNA of Bombus impatiens (common eastern bumble bee), 201 nucleotides long. RefSeq lists it as uncharacterized. The record is from RefSeq and is a predicted model, not a curated record. The transcript has 3 exons. NCBI's taxonomy places the organism in Eukaryota, Metazoa, Arthropoda, Insecta, Hymenoptera, Apidae.
AUUUUAAAGAAAAACAAGAGAACUUUUAUCGAGACGGAAUAAUGGCCCUACCAGAAAAAUGGCAAGAAAUUGUACAACGAGAGGGGGAUUACAUUUUUCCAUGAAACCGAAAGGUAUGUAGACAAUCUUAACAUAUAUAACCGCUCGAAAAACGGCACGAACUUAUGGGAUGACCUAAUAUAUACGUAUGUAAUCAAGUUU